This is a long non-coding RNA of Macaca mulatta (Rhesus monkey), 2220 nucleotides long. RefSeq lists it as uncharacterized. The record is from RefSeq and is a predicted model, not a curated record. NCBI's taxonomy places the organism in Eukaryota, Metazoa, Chordata, Mammalia, Primates, Cercopithecidae.
AAAGUGAUAUUUAAAUAAAAACUGAAUGGAAAUGAGGAUGUGGUUCAAUUAAAUAAGGAAGUCCACAAAUUAGGAAGAUAAGAUCCCCAUAUUUGAUAACCAUGUCAGAGGAAAGCCUGACUCACCUGGGACCCAGCAGAUGGCAGAUUGUCUAACAUCUCUGUGUUCCUCUUUUCUGCAGGGACAGAGUCCUGAGCAAGGAAACCUAGAAGGGAAAGAGGAAUAACCAUGGAAUUGAGUCCUGUCUGGCAGCACUGACAGACACAGUGGCCAGCCACCCUCAUGCCACCCUGUCCUGCCAUGGGAAGGAACAGCAGCUCUAGAGUUCCUACGGGAACUCUCUUUCCUUCUCACUGAACUCUAGCUUCAUCAAUAACUCAGUGCCUCUGGCCAAGUUUUUAGCCUCUGGGACAACAUCCACUAUAUCUAUAUGAGGCACUCACUGUAACACCGUGAUUAAGAGUACAGAUGCUGGAGCCAGCAGCCUAAGUCUGAAUCCUGACUGCCAAUUAUUAUUAUAAGUUGUGGAACCACGGUCAAGUUACUCAACCUCUUUAUGCUUCUGGCUCCUGGUCUAUGAAACGAAGCUUUGGAUCUGCUGUUAUUAAGUUGCUGGUGCUGAAAUAACACUUAUUAUUUAUGGUCUAACUGAAAUGGCAAUACUGGAAACUUGUCUGAAGCUGAAGAAAAAAAUGAAAAAGAAGUUUUUACAAUCAAAACUACCAUGAAAACUGCUUUGCCCAAAAUUUUGGUCCACAGCUUUCACUGAAUUACUUAUCAGGGCAAACAAAGUUCAGCCAUGUGAACAGGUUCCAAUUUUGUUAGAAAUAAUUUGUGAGUUUGUAUUGCUAUCUCAUGGCUAAAAUUCUGAGGUAAAAGCUUUUGGAUGUUUGUGUGUCGUGUGCGCAUGUGACAAAAACAAGCAAUGGGGAAAGGAGUCCCUAUUUAAUAAAUGGUGUUGGGAGAACUGGCUAGUCAUAUGAAGAAAGUUGAAACUAGAGCCCCUCCUUAUACUAUAUACAAAAAUCAACUCAAGGUGGAUUAAAGACUUAAAUGUAAAAACCCAAACUAUAAAAACCCUAGAAGAAAAUCUAGGCAAUACCAUUCAGGACAUGGGUACAAGCAAAGAUUUCAUGACAAAGAUGCCAAAAGCAGUAGCAACAAAAGCAAAAAUUGACAAAUGGAAUCUAAUUAAACUAAAGAGCUUCUGUACAGCAAAAGAAACUAUCAUUAGAGUGAACAGACAACCUACAGCAUGGGAGAAAAAUUUUUGCAAUAUAUCCAUCUGCCAAAGGUCUAAUAUCCAGUGUCUACAAGGAACUUAAACAAAUUUACAGGAAAAAAACAAACAACGCCAUUAAAAAGUGGGCAAAGGACACGGACAGACACUUCUCAAAAGAAGACAUUUAUGUAGGCAACGAACAUUUUUUAAAACAAAAGCUCAACACCACUGAUCAUUAGAGAAAUGCACAUGAAAACCACAAUGAGACAGCAUCUCACACCAGUCAGAAUAGCUAUUACUUAAGGGUCAUAAAACAACCGAUGAUAGCAAGGUUGUGAAGAAAAAUGAACACUUUUAUACUGUUGGUUGGAGUGUAAAUUAGUUCUACCAUUUUGGAAGACAGUGUGGUGAUUCCUCAAAGACCUAGGGGAAGAAAUACCAUCUGACCCAGCACUCUCAUUACUAGGUAUAUACCCAGAGGAAUAUAAAUCAUUCUAUUAUAAAGAUACACGUGCAUGUUCAUUGCAAAAUAGCAAAACCAUGGAAUCAACCUAAAUGCCCAUCAAUGACAGACUUGAUAAAGCAAAUGUGGUACGUAUACACCAAGGAAUAACAUGCAGCCAUAAAAAGGAUCAAGAUCAUGUCUUUUGCAGGGACCUGGAUGGAACCAGAAGCCAUUAUCCUCAGCAAAUUAAUGCAGGAACAGAAAAGCAAAUACCACAUGUUCUCACUUAUAAGUGGGAGCUGAAUGAUGAGAACACACGGACACAUGGUGGGGAACAAUACACACUGAGGCCUGUUGCAGGGUGUGGAGUGAGAGGGAGAGCAUUGGGAAGAAUAGCUAAUGCCUGCUGGGCUUAAUACCUACGGGAUGGAAUGAUCUGUGCAGCAAACCACUAUGGCACACAUCUAUGUAACAAACCUACACAUCCUGACAUGUAACCCUGACUUUAAAAUAAAAGUUGGAAAUAAAAAAAAACCCCUAAACAUAUACCUAC